ACCGGCGGCUCGAGUGGUAACCGUUUUUAUUGGGCCUAAAGCGUUCGUAGCCGGUUUGAUAAGUCUCUGGUGAAAUCCCGCAGCUCAACUGUGGGAAUUGCUGGAGAUACUAUCAGACUUGAGGUCGGGAGAGGUUAGAGGUACUCCCAGGGUAGGGGUGAAAUCCUAUAAUCCUGGGAGGACCACCUGUGGCGAAGGCGUCUAACUGGAACGAACCUGACGGUGAGUAACGAAAGCCAGGGGCGCGAACCG
Molecule: ribosomal RNA, 252 nt
Filed under: uncultured prokaryote
Description: partial 16S rRNA
Rfam family: Archaeal small subunit ribosomal RNA
Source: RNAcentral